GGACUACAGGGGUAUCUAAUCCUGUUUGCUCCCCACGCUCUCGCGCCUCAGCGUCAGUAUUUGUCCAGGUAGCCGCCUUCGCCACUGGUGUUCCUUCCGAUCUCUACGCAUUUCACCGCUACACCGGAAAUUCCACUACCCUCUACAAUACUCUAGCGUUACAGUCAUCGAUGCAGUUCCUAGGUUAAGCCCAGGGAUUUCACAUCAAUCUUAUAACACCGCCUACGCGCCCUUUACGCCCAGUAACUCCGAUUAACGCUUGCACCCUCUGUAUUACCGCGGCUGCUGGCAC
This 292-nucleotide ribosomal RNA is filed under the name uncultured bacterium. RNAcentral's name for it is "partial 16S ribosomal RNA". The record is from RNAcentral.